UGUUGGAUUUUUAAUAAUGUUGGACAGAUUAAAAAUUUCUUAAAUAUCUAAUAAAAUUUUACUUUUAGUAUCACAAAGAAGAUCAAGAAGAUGUCUGGCAACAUUUCUUCUAAGAGAGGUGUGCAUUGCAGAAAGAGGGCCAGAAAAGUGCCAGGAUAUUAUUAAACUUCACAUAGAGUGCAUGCGGAAGGAAGGCUUCAAUGUGUGAUAUCAUCUUAUUAGAAUGUACAGCAACUCCAACAGAUACCUCAGUGAUGACACCAUUUACUGAUGAAUCUCCUCUCACCUGAGACAGUCAUGGGGCACUCAUGUUUAGUUCGAGUGUUCAUAUAGCUGUAGCUAUAUACUACUUGUUUACCUUGCUUAUAUAAUUAUGCAUGUUUGAGAACUAUAUGGACAUUGUUGUGGUAAUAUUAAGAACACUUGAGGUUUAUUAUCCCCACGCUUUUUAAAAAGCGUGGGGAUAUUGUGGUUAUCUCCGCUGUCUGUCCGUCCGUUCGUCUGUCCGUCCGUUUGCCACUAUCUCCUCCUACACUAUAAGUACUAGAACCUUAAAACUUACACACAUGGUAGCUAUGAGCAUAUGUGCGACCCUGCGCUAUUUGGAAUUUUGAUCUGAACUCUGAAUCAAAAGUUAUGGGGGUUGGGGUGGGGCCGGGUCAGAGAUUUUCACUCAUUUUUAACCAGGUUUUCAGAAGGAAAAAACUGGUUAUUAGAUUGGUGAAUGCGGGCGGGCGGGCUGGCUGGCUGGCGGGCUGGCUGGUUGGCUGGCGGGCUGGCGGAACAAGCUUGUCCGGGCCAUAACUAUGUCGUUCAUUGUCAGAUUUUAAAAUCAUUUAGCACAUUUGUUCACCAUCAUUGGACGGUGUGUCGCGCGAAAUAAUUACAUCGAUAUCUCCAAGGUCAAGGUCACACUUUGAGUUCAAAGGUCAAAAAUGGCCAUAAAUGAGCUUGUCCUGGCCAUAACUAUGUCAUUUAUUGUGAGAUUUAAAAAUCAUUUGGCACAUUUGUUCACCAUCAUGGGACGGUGUGUCGCACGAAAGAAUCACGUCAAUAUCUCCAAUGUCAAGGUCGCCACGACUAAAAAUAGAUUUUUUUUUAAAACAAACUUACAAAGGGGGUUAAUUUUGUUUGUUCAUUUCAAAAGUUCAGUUUGAGUUUUCUCCCUUUAUCAGAUUUUUUUUUUCACAAUGAAAACCUGGUUUUGUGACAAUUUUGUCCCUUGUUUUAUGUUAUUUUACAUUAACUUCUUCAUUUCUACACCGAUUUACUUCAAAUUGAUACUGAACAUCUCUUAUGAUUAUACGGUCAAUCUCAACUAUGCAUGGCCCCAUUACCAACCUUGGGGCGCCCCGCCCACAUAGACCACGCCCACCCAAAAUUGCCUUUUACUAUAAUUUCUUCAUUUCUACACCGAUUCACUUAAAAUUGAUACUGAACCUCUCUUAUGACAAUACGGUCAAUCUCAACUAUGCAUGGCCCGAUUACCAACCCUGGGGCGCCCCGCCCACAUAGGCCACACCCACCCAAAAUUGCCUUUAACUAUAACUUCUUCAUUUCUACACCGAUUCACUUCUAAUUGAUACUGAACUUCUCUAAUGACAAUACGGUCAAUCUCAACUAUGCAUGGCCCCAUCACCAACCCUGGGGCCCCCGCCCACAUAGACCACGCCCACCCAAAAUUGCCUUUUACUAUAAUUUCUUCAUUUCUACACCGAUUCACUUCAAAUUGAUACUGAACCUCUCUUAUGACAAUACGGUCAAUCUCAACUAUGCAUGGCCCCAUAACCAACCCUGGGGCGCCCCGCCCACAUAGGCCACACCCACCCAAAAUUGCCUUUUACUAUAACUUCUUCAUUUCUACUCCGAUUCACUUCUAAUUGAUACUGAACUUCUCUAAUGACAAUAUGGUCAAUCUCAACUAUGCAUGGCCCCAUUACCAACCCUGGGGCGCCCUGCCCACAUAGGCCACACCCACCCAAAAUUGCCUUUUACCAGAACUUCUUCAUUUCUACACCGAUUCACUUCUAAUUGAUACUGAACUUCUCUUAUGACAAUACGGUCAAUCUCAACUAUGCAUGGCCCCAUUAUCAACCCUGGGGCGCCCCUGGGUCAAACAUGCGGCGUGGGGAUACGCGUCGGCCUCUGCCGCGCCAUUUCUAGUUUAUUUCUGUGCCAGAUGUGCCUAUACUUAUCUCCUAAUAAAUUGUGUACAUACUUUGGCUUUCAUAUUGCAAUAACAUGUAUUUAUAUUGAUUACUGUAUCAAUAAUGCAGUAUUUUAAUAUGUAUUGUUCUUCAUCAUACAAUUGCAAUUGUAUUGAAGUGACUAGAACAUUGUGUGAAUAGCUUCUAUAAACAAAAAACAGACUGCAUGAAAUUGAUCUAAUCUACUUAUCAUUGUUGUUUCCAGCUUUUCCAUUGGAUAAUUAACUAUGUGUGUUAUAUUAUAAAACUGCAUCAUUUUAUAUGUGCGUGUGCAUACAUACCCUCCCAAAUGUGUGCUAAUGGGAGAGCACUUGAAAUGUAGAUUGGAAUAAAUAUUUGUUGGAACUUGUUAAUCAUGAAGAUCUCUCUGUAAAUAGAGUGUGUUUUCCAAUAUAUUGUAUGGUUUCUGCUGUAAUAGCAAUAGUAUAAUGCAACAUGUGUUAGUACUUUAUUUAACUUAUCCCAAAGGAAACAUGGGUGAGUUUUCUAUCAUAUUAUUUCGCUCAAACUCUGCAUUAUAAUUCACAAAACUAAACGUCAACAUUUUAAUAGACUCUGUAGGCGUAUUGCAUUUUAUUUCUAAUGUAAAUGAAAUGCUUAUCCUCAUAAAUGUUUUCUAAAGUUUGUUUUUAUCAUGUACUGGUAGUAUACUCAUAAUUCUCCGGUGAGCCAUAUUUUAAUAAAUAAUGGUGUUGAAAACCUGUCUGGGGCUGUCUAGUAAGCGCAGUGGUUGCUACGUUCGCUUCUCACUUAGAUGACCCGAAUUCAAUCCCCAGUCCCUGAAGCAUGUGAGUUUGGUUGGUGGUCACCAUACCAGACAGGUGGGUUUCCUCACGGCAGUCUGGCUUCCCCACACAAAACAAGACCACUCCAAUAUUAAAAUAUCUUUCAGUAAAAAACAAAUAGCUGAAAAUCGAAGCUACAAUUCAAAGUUCAUCCUCACUUCUUGUGCGUCAAAUAGUUAAUUGGGUAUGAGUGUUGAGACACAGUCCAGGUCCUCACGUAAUGCAGCCUCAGGCACGAGAAGACCUUGUAUACUUUGAAAAUACACACACACACAGUCUGUUGGACUGCUGUCUUCAUUUUUUUUCAUAUUCUUCUGGUAUAUGUAUGUGCUGAAAUGAUUAUUGGUACUUUACCGCAACUGAACUCCCAAACCAUUUUCCUCGUGAUCAUCAAUUGUGGUUAUUUGUGAUUGCUGUAUCCACAUUAUUAUUGAUCUUUGUUUGAUUUUCAUAAUAAAUCCAGUAAAUGUCAA
Dreissena polymorpha is the source of this 3465-nucleotide long non-coding RNA. RefSeq lists it as uncharacterized. The transcript has 3 exons. Lineage: Eukaryota; Metazoa; Mollusca; Bivalvia; Myida; Dreissenidae. The record is from RefSeq and is a predicted model, not a curated record.